This 355-nucleotide ribosomal RNA is filed under the name uncultured bacterium. Its description in RNAcentral is "bacterial SSU rRNA". It matches the Rfam family "Bacterial small subunit ribosomal RNA", at positions 917 to 1271 of the family's 1533-position model. The record is from RNAcentral.
GGGCCCGCACAAGCGGUGGAUUAUGUGGAUUAAUUCGAUGCAACGCGAAAAACCUUACCUGGCCUUGACAUGUACCGAAUUUAGCAGAGAUGCUUUAGUGCUCGUAAGAGAACGGUAACACAGGUGCUGCAUGGCUGUCGUCAGCUCGCGUCGUGAGAUGUUGGUUAAGUCCCGCAACGAGCGCAACCCUCACUUUUAGUUGCCAUCAUUAAGUUGGGCACUCUGAAAGAACUGCCAGUGAUAAGCUGGAGGAAGGUGGGGAUGACGUCAAAAUCAUCACGGCCCUUACGUCCUGGGCUACACACGUGCUACAAUGGCUAGGACAGACGGCCGCAAACCCGCGAGGGGGAGCCAA